GUUCCACCCAGGAGGUAGAAGCACUCUUCCUUGGCGCAAACAGAGCACAGGUUCAGUAAAUGCUGGGAUUGAAUUGGCUGGCUGUCUUCAUUCUGCAAUGGACAAAAAGAAAAAGAAGUUUGAGUUGCAAAAUCUACAGAAUUCAAAGUGGUUCAUUACAAUGUAGAGGAAACAGGCUGAAUUGGUGCAUCAGGCUGUGGUCCAAGAGGGAGAGUGGCCAGGGGUCCUAAAGUCGGUGUCCUAAGGAGAUCCAAGCUGCAGAGCUGUAGCGCGAGGCCCUGGAUCGAAAGAACCCAGACAAGGAACCCCCAAUUAUCUAUGUUUCUAUAAGUGCUUUUCUAAAAGCAUGGUUUCUCACCUGAACCUGGUGUGCAGAUUCCCUUAUCCUGUCCCUUCCCUGUGCACCAAAGGUGAGAGUAGGAAUCCAAGUGCAGAGACAAAGGCUGGUCACCCAAGUAUGCAUCACUCCAAAAGAAGUUUGAGAGUCAAGGCCCUACACAAGCACAACAGGUAUAAACUGGGAUUUAUAAUGCCCUCUGCCUCGGAGAGACAGGCCAGCCCAAGGAACAUCCACUGUCCACAGGAGUAAGUCUGAGAUUGCAAACUGGGGAAGCAAAGGGAUGAAAUUAUUAUGUAAAGAAGAGUAUUGAGAGAGGUAAAUUGUGACCUGUGAGAGCAAAGCUAAGGCCUCCCUGUAAGAA
This is a long non-coding RNA of Fukomys damarensis (Damara mole-rat), 701 nucleotides long. RefSeq lists it as uncharacterized. NCBI's taxonomy places the organism in Eukaryota, Metazoa, Chordata, Mammalia, Rodentia, Bathyergidae. The transcript is spliced from 3 exons. The record is from RefSeq and is a predicted model, not a curated record.